RNAcentral lists this long non-coding RNA (971 nucleotides) under Ananas comosus (pineapple). RNAcentral describes it as "long non-coding RNA (ACOM_LNC038597)". The record is from RNAcentral. Lineage: Eukaryota; Viridiplantae; Streptophyta; Magnoliopsida; Poales; Bromeliaceae.
UUAUAAAAUAUAUUAAUAAUUAGGUAUCCAACAUGCACUACGAAAUUAGAUUAUAGGGAUACAUGUUUGGAAUAUUUUUGUGUAAGUGUCUUAUUUGUGCCAAAACUUAAAAAAAUAUUUACUAAUGCCUAAAUAUAAAGCCCAAUUUAACUAAAAAGAAAAUGCUAUUCUACUCAACCCAUCCCAUCCAGCCCAUUUGGCCGGAUUACAAAUAGAAAAGAAAAAUAAAAUAAAAUCGAUUACCAUCUCCCCUUCUCCCCUCACUCAAUCUUCUGAAAUUCUAGACAAAGAGUCAUUCCCUUUCGUCCUCCUCCGCCAUUGCAGCCAACGAGGUAGAGUUUUGGCAGUUAUUAAAUACUUAAAUAAGUAUUGGUAAAUUAGCAGCGCUCUUUUUAGCUUAUAACGACACUUUUUAACUGUCACUAUAUACCUAGCGACCCCACAUAUAGCAACACGUUUUAAAAGUGUCAGUAAUUUAGCCAGCAGCAUGUUUUUUGACUUGUACCGACACUUAAAAGUGUCGCUAUAGACCGUUUUUGUUGUAGUGAUGUCAACAUAAAUCAUAUUCAAAGACUAUGAUUUUCCCCACAAGUUCAAAUAUCAAGGUGGGAAUGAAGAACAACAUACUAUCAUAGAUAUCUAUACUAUAUAUAAAAGCAUCUAGCAAUGACAGACAGAAUAAAAAAAAUAUAAAAAAAUAUUCUCUACGAUCGAUUAUGAUCAAUAUAUUAAUAAAAAUUUCAAAUAAGAACAAAUGGUUAUGAUCAAACUGUUAAAAAAAACAUUCAUAUCCAUCUAUAAAUUUAAUUCGACGAACGAUUAUGAUUAAUUUAUUAAAAAUAUUUUAAAUAAAAACGAACGGUUAUGAUCAAUUUAUUAAAAAAUAGUACUCCUUUACAUCUAUUGUACAUUAAAAUUUUAAAUUUGAGUUUAAAUCGUGAAUUAUAUUUUAUUUUUUAUAUCAAAUUUGA